Molecule: non-coding RNA, 26 nt
Filed under: Rattus norvegicus (Norway rat)
Lineage: Eukaryota; Metazoa; Chordata; Mammalia; Rodentia; Muridae
Source: RNAcentral
UGGGCUUUCCUAUGUUGCGUUCUCGG